This 91-nucleotide transfer RNA is filed under the name Acinetobacter celticus. RNAcentral describes it as "tRNA-Ser(gga)". It matches the Rfam family "tRNA". Rfam says of the family: Transfer RNA (tRNA) molecules are approximately 80 nucleotides in length. Their secondary structure includes four short double-helical elements and three loops (D, anti-codon, and T loops). Further hydrogen bonds mediate the characteristic L-shaped molecular structure. tRNAs have two regions of fundamental functional importance: the anti-codon, which is responsible for specific mRNA codon recognition, and the 3' end, to which the tRNAs corresponding amino acid is attached (by aminoacyl-tRNA synthetases). tRNAs cope with the degeneracy of the genetic code in two manners: having more than one tRNA (with a specific anti-codon) for a particular amino acid; and 'wobble' base-pairing, i.e. permitting non-standard base-pairing at the 3rd anti-codon position. Lineage: Bacteria; Pseudomonadati; Pseudomonadota; Gammaproteobacteria; Moraxellales; Moraxellaceae. The record is from RNAcentral.
GGUGAAGUGUCCGAGUGGCUUAAGGAGCACGCCUGGAAAGUGUGUAAACGUUUAUAGCGUUUCGAGGGUUCGAAUCCCUCUUUCACCGCCA